This 914-nucleotide ribosomal RNA is filed under the name uncultured Nitrososphaerota archaeon. RNAcentral's name for it is "bacterial SSU rRNA". It matches the Rfam family "Archaeal small subunit ribosomal RNA", at positions 1 to 922 of the family's 1478-position model. The record is from RNAcentral. Lineage: Archaea; Thermoproteati; Nitrososphaerota.
UUCCGGUUGAUCCUGCCGGACCUGACUGCUAUCGGAUUGAUACUAAGCCAUGCGAGUCAUUGCAGCAAUGCAAGGCAGACGGCUCAGUAACGCGUAGUCAACCUAACCUAUGGAUGGGAAUAACCUCGGGAAACUGAGUAUAAUGCCCGAUAGAACACUAUACCUGGAAUGGUUUGUGUUCCAAAUGAUUUAUCGCCGUAGGAUGGGACUGCGGCCUAUCAGUUUGUUGGUGAGGUAAUGGCCCACCAAGACUAUUACAGGUACGGGCUCUGAGAGGAGUAGCCCGGAGAUGGGUACUGAGACACGGACCCAGGCCCUAUGGGGCGCAGCAGGCGAGAAAACUUUGCAAUGUGCGAAAGCACGACAAGGUUAAUCCGAGUGGUUUCUGCUAAAGGAACCUUUUGUUAGUCCUAGAAACACUAACGAAUAAGGGGUGGGCAAGUUCUGGUGUCAGCCGCCGCGGUAAAACCAGCACCUCAAGUGGUCAGGAUGAUUAUUGGGCCUAAAGCAUCCGUAGCCGGCUCUGUAAGUUUUCGGUUAAAUCUGUACGCUCAACGUACAGGCUGCCGGGAAUACUGCAGAGCUAGGGAGUGGGAGAGGUAGACGGUACUCGGGAGGAAGUGGUAAAAUGCUUUGAUCUCUCGAUGACCACCUGUGGCGAAGGCGGUCUACCAGAACACGUCCGACGGUGAGGGAUGAAAGCUGGGGGAGCAAACCGGAUUAGAUACCCGGGUAGUCCCAGCUGUAAACUAUGCAAACUCAGUGAUGCAUUGGCUUGUGGCCAAUGCAGUAUUGCAGGGAAGCCGUUAAGUUUGCCGCCUGGGAAGUACGUACGCAAGUAUGAAACUUAAAGGAAUUGGCGGGGGAGCACCACAAGGGGUGAAGCCUGCGGUUCAAUUGGAUUCAACGCCGGG